AAGUCGAGUUGGCUUAGGGAUACGUUCGUUGGGUAGGGGAGCGUUCUGUAAGCCUGUGAAGGUGUGUCGUGAGGCAUGCUGGAGGUAUCAGAAGUGCGAAUGCUGACAUAAGUAACGAUAAAGCGGGUGAAAAGCCCGCUCGCCGGAAGACCAAGGGUUCCUGUCCAACGUUAAUCGGGGCAGGGUGAGUCGACCCCUAAGGCGAGGCCGAAAGGCGUAGUCGAUGGGAAACGGGUUAAUAUUCCCGUACUUGGUGUUACUGCGAAGGGGGGACGGAGAAGGCUAUGUUGGCCGGGCGACGGUUGUCCCGGUUUAAGCGUGUAGGUGUGUGUUCCAGGUAAAUCCGGUU
Molecule: ribosomal RNA, 349 nt
Filed under: Salmonella enterica
Lineage: Bacteria; Pseudomonadati; Pseudomonadota; Gammaproteobacteria; Enterobacterales; Enterobacteriaceae
Also listed under: 1 other name
Description: partial 23S ribosomal RNA
Rfam family: Bacterial large subunit ribosomal RNA
Source: RNAcentral